This 462-nucleotide non-coding RNA is filed under the name Drosophila mojavensis. RNAcentral's name for it is "Eukaryotic small subunit ribosomal RNA". It matches the Rfam family "Eukaryotic small subunit ribosomal RNA", at positions 624 to 1104 of the family's 1831-position model. The record is from Rfam by way of RNAcentral. Lineage: Eukaryota; Metazoa; Arthropoda; Insecta; Diptera; Drosophilidae.
AUGUAUGUAAGCGUAUUACCGGUGGAGUUCUUAUAUUUAAUUAAGUACUUGUACUUUUUUAAAUAUUCCUCCUAUUUAAAAACCUGCAUUAGUGCUCUUCAUCGAGUGUUAUUGUGGGCCGGUACAAUUACUUUGAACAAAUUAGAGUGCUUAAAGCAGGUUUCAAAUGCCUGAAUAUUCUGUGCAUGGGAUAAUGAAAUAAGACCUCUGUUCUGCUUUCAUUGGUUUUCAGAUCAAGAGGUAAUGAUUAAUAGAAGCAGUUUGGGGGCAUUAGUAUUACGACGCGAGAGGUAAAUUUCUUGACCCCCCUAAAACAUAAUUAAACGCAAGCGCUUUGCCAAGAAGUGUUCUCUAUAACCCAAACACAAAAUUUAGAGUUCUCAAAGCGAAAUCAUAUCGCGCCUAGGUAAGCCUACUUUUAGGGCCUCCUCUCCAGUCGCCCUCUCCGGGGAAAACCCAAAG